ACAAUGAACAUUUUUCCCCUACAGAUUUAUUGUCAGCAUUUUAAUUCAGAGUUGGAUUCCAGUGGGUGGAGGAGGGCCAUUAUACACAUUUUUUUCUUUCAGAUUUAUUGUCAGCAUUUUAAUUCAGAGGUGGAUUCCAGUGGGUGGAGGAGGGCCAUUAUACACAUUUUUUUUCUUUCAGAUUUAUUGUCAGCAUUUUAAUUCAGAGGUGGAUUCCAGUGGGUGGAGGAGGGCCAUUAUACACAUUUUUUCUCUUUCAGGUA
Molecule: non-coding RNA, 263 nt
Organism: Misgurnus anguillicaudatus (oriental weatherfish)
Lineage: Eukaryota; Metazoa; Chordata; Actinopteri; Cypriniformes; Cobitidae
Source: RefSeq, a predicted model, not a curated record